Molecule: RNA transcript, 1624 nt
Organism: Carya illinoinensis
Lineage: Eukaryota; Viridiplantae; Streptophyta; Magnoliopsida; Fagales; Juglandaceae
Gene name: transcription factor MYB1R1-like
Exons: 4
Source: RefSeq, a predicted model, not a curated record
UACUCUCUCUCUCUCUAAGCUGGCACCGAAUAGUACUGUAGACUCGUCCAUCCACUUGUAUUCGCCUUGCCCCUCUCUCUCUCUCUCUCUCUCUGCCAUUUGUUUUUCCGCCCGGUCGAGACUUGAGACUCAAACCGGUGAAGCAAGAAUAAAGAAGGAAGACGAAGUGAAAAGGGUUAUUCGUCGGAGAUGUCUGGCGCGUGUGGUGGUGGCCAGGGUGGUGUGGGAGAGAUUAUGCUGUUCGGGGUGAGGGUGGUGGUGGACGCCAUGAGGAAGAGCGUGAGUAUGAACAAUCUGUCUCAGUACGAGCUGCAUCCACAGGAGGAGGGUUCCAUGGUUAACAACGGUAUCAACCUCAAUAACAAUAGCAAAGAAGAUGUGGCCGCAGCAGCAACUGCUGCAGCUGCCGUUGGUUAUGCCUCCGCAGACGACGCCGUUCCCAGUUCUCGCGGCAGCCGUGACCGCGAGCGCAAGCGAGGGGUUCCGUGGACGGAGGAAGAGCACAAGCUAUUCCUGCUGGGUUUGCAGAAAGUAGGGAAAGGAGAUUGGAGAGGUAUAUCGAGAAACUUUGUCAAGACCCGCACGCCGACGCAGGUCGCCAGCCACGCUCAGAAAUACUUUCUCCGCCGCAGCAACCUCAACCGCCGUCGCCGCCGAACCAGCCUCUUCGAUAUCACCACCGAUUCGGUCACGGCAACUCCAAUGGAAGAUCAAGUACUGGGGCAUCACCAAGAUACUGCCUCACAGCCACACCCAUUGCCACCUCCACCAUCGGUCGAUACUUGCAAUUUUAGUGUGCUUCCAGUUAUUCCUGCUUUUCCAGUGUCUGUUGGUCCAGCAGCAGUUCCAGUCCCCGUUGCCAGCCAAUUGGAAAACCCAAAUCUAGGACAGGGAAAUGUAGCUGCGUCAUCGAAGGUCAUCCGUCCGAUCCCUGUCCAUGUGGCUCCUCAUGCUCUAACUCUCUCUGGCCUUACCUUGAAAAAUAUGAAGUCAGCCACCGAUCCCCUACCGCUGACGCUAAAGUCAUCUUUGCCAUCCGGGCAAAGGGAGUCGCCAUCAAGGCACUCAGCUUUUCAGGCAAUGUCAAGCUUCAACAAUGGUGAUAGCAUAAUCACUGUAGCCUGAUGAAAUAUGGAAAAUGGCUCAUAAUUAGAGCAGAUGGAUUAGAUAAAUUUAUCUCAAAAGGAAGAGAUAAUGGGUUAGAGAAGACAAGGUGUUUGUGGAUCUACCCUCAAGUUAGUGGUUUUUAUGGCUAUUCUGGUUUCUUUUAUGACAGGUGGAGAGGCAUUUUCUUCCCCUUUUGGGUGAUGGGACACAAAUACAUUAAUAUUUUGUGAAAGUUUUGUGAGUGGACAAUCAAUAAUGGAUCAUGGUAGGUCUUGAGGUAUUUUUAGUGCUAUGAUGUGGAUCAUACAUUUUGAAGGUUUCUAUUGGAAGUAAUAGUUUAAAAAUGGGUGGGGGGGUUUUUGUUUUCACUACUUUAAAAUUAAAAGGAUGGGGGAGGGGACACAAAAUUCUGCGGAUGGAGUUCCUUUCUUGACUUUCUUGUUGAAAGGAUCGUUUGUCAAUUGUAAAAUAUAAAAAAAGGAUCUAUGAUAAGUGAGACUUUUUCCAAUUUUGAAAA